Non-coding RNA from Phoenix dactylifera (date palm), 3151 nucleotides. NCBI's taxonomy places the organism in Eukaryota, Viridiplantae, Streptophyta, Magnoliopsida, Arecales, Arecaceae. The record is from RefSeq and is a predicted model, not a curated record.
AGUGGCGGUCGGAGCUAUGGACAGAUUCUAACCACUUUCCUACUGUCCCUUUGUGGCUUCAAGAAGCAUUGAUUCCUCUUCUCUUUUAUCCAUGUUACCCGCAACUACCAGAAGCUCUUCUUCUCCUCCUCUCUUUUUUGCUUCAAGAACCAUUGAUUCCUCCUCUCUUUUAUCCAUGUUAUACUGCACGCUUUGCUCAUCAUCUACCACUGCUAAGCUUCCUCACCAUUCUCAUCACUGUCCUCUGCAUCUUCGUCAACAUCCUUUAUGAAUGAAUCCAAUAUAACCUGUCGUCUUCUUCACUUUCCUCUUAUUCUUCUUCUUAUCCCACUAGUUCUCUUUCCUCCUUUUCUUUUGGUAGAUUUUUGGUGGGAUAUUCCGGUGCUGCGCGGUCGCAAUCGCCCUCUUCGUAGCCGUUGCCGAGAUGGAAUGGAGUUUUAUGAUAAAAUUUUGUGAUAAGCUGGAAGGGGCAUGCUACAUAUCUUUGUUGCUGUGAUGACAACAGUUUUGUGAAAUGUCUGAUAAAGAGUGGGCAGCAGAAAGAAUUUGAUUUUGUUUAAGGGGGUUGCAAGUUACCUUCUUAUGGCAUGUGGUUUGACGUACGUGAUCUCAAAAACUAUGGGACUUUAAAAAUGGUUUGAUUGCUCAUUUUUCACACUAAAGAACAAAAGAUAAGGCCUCAUGUGCCAAUUCUAUGCCUGGAUGAGUGGUGUUUAGCAUGGUGAACCUUGGAAUCUAAAUUCACAAUCAUGUAAUUUUAGUUCUUUGGUUUCAAAUAUCAUCAAAAUUAAAUAUAUAUGGAGUAACUUUUCAAGGUUGGACUAGGUAAUUGGCAACUUGAGGCAAGAGAUGAUGCUUUUAACUUUGCUCCUUUGAUCAUGCCAAGGUGUGCCCCCCACCAAACCAAAAAAAAAAAAAAAUGGAGCCAACCCAAAAUACAAUGCACACAAACAUAUCACAUAUAUAUAGGUCAAGUUAAAGUUGCAUGUUUUAUUCUGAAUUGGAUGAUGUAGAUCCAAUAUUGAUAAUCCAAGCUAUUAGAUGUGAUCUACUAUUACCUUUAAACUACUUAUAUCCAAAAAAAUCAUGUGAUUUGGAGUUCCCUAGCCCCUGCAUAUAGCAGUCAAAAAGUUUCAUGUUAUUGAAAUUAUUCAAUUUUACUUUAUACAUAAGUUAAAGAGCAUCAAACCAUAUGAUUUUUGGUGCGUAAGUAAUUUAGUGAUAGUAGAUAACAUCCAAUGGCUUGGAUCAUCAAUAUGGGACCCUCAUCGUCUAAUUCAAAAAGUAACUUUUAUGUGUGUGUGUGUGUGUGUAUGUAUGCAUGUGUAUGUAUGUAUGUGUGUGUAUAUAUUGAUUAUGUUCUAGUAUUGUGUAUAGCUAUUUAUGGCUACAGCUAUUCUGGGUGUUUUGAUGCAUUGGUUUCUUGAAGCGUGCACGCCAGGAGAAGGAAAUAACAAAAAGCAAGUAGUUAGAGAUCUAGAGGUAAGCAAUUAGUUCAUUGGCAGCAAAAGCCAUUCAACUGCAAAGGCUAUGGUAGAUGUUAGUUUUUACGUACAACAUAUGUUUGUCUCCUAAGUUCAGUUAUUUUGUAAUGUUCAUUGUUCUUUAUUCUGUGACUUUCUCAAGCUUGAAUUGUAAGUAUGAGAGCAUCCAAGUCAAUCAAAUUUUAUAAUAAGUUCUUUGCAAUGGUGAAAAAUGAAACAAUGAACUAAUUUAAUAAUUAUUACUAAAUUAGUCUUGUGAGAACUUAAACAGCAAAGAGGUCAGCAUACAGCUACUUACAUUCAACUCUUUAACACAUUCUUCAUCCUCUCUUUCUUAUUCUCCACAUAACCGGAGGAAUCUUCGCCGUGCAUGGCUUUUAUAAAAAACGAAGCUAGGGUGACAGCUUAGACUCCAAGUCUUUAUAUAUACCAUAUGGCCUAGUCUAGUACCAAUUCAACCUCCACCCUCCAUUUUAUGUAAACGCCUUAAAAGAAGUAAAUGAUCCAUAUGUUCUUCUUCCUGCCAACAUUGUAAACAGGAUCUUAAUUAUGAUCCAAAUUCUGGAUCAUAUGACCCGGACUAAAAUGACCUCCAGUGGUCUAUAUAGUCCUUGGAUUUUCUGGACAUUUUUAUCAUGUCUGCAGUCAUUUUCUUGAUCUCCUUCUUGCAGUUAACCCCUUUAUGUCUUUGGAUUCUAUAUCCUGUAAUACUUUUGGUGGUUGGAGGACCACUGCAGCACUGGAAAGAUGACUAGCCUUGGAAAUGUAAACAUGAAACACAAUGAAGGUUUUGAGAGUAUUCUAGGAAGUAAAGUGUUAUGAUAGCUAUUAAUUUGAUUUGUAGUCAUGUUUUUCUGCUGCAUCAUUCUAUGAGAUGUUAAUGAGAUGACUAACUCAUGCCACAAUGAACUCGAGUUGUAUGGUCAGUUUGAAUUCUUCCUCCAUGGUAGUCUAUAGACUCUAUACAUUCAAUUUCAUGGACUUUAAACCAUUUGGAGAACAGAGUUCCUUUCUUGACUUUUCGUGUGAGUUCAACCAUCCUACUCCUUCAUAUAGUUAUCGAAGUCACGCAUGCCAUAACCAGCCAUCACCAACCUGAGAGAAAGCAUUCUAAUGCACACCUUCAAUACCGAGGUCUCAGAUAGACGGAAUGCCAACAGACUUACGAUUCUUUUGCAGACCUUUAUUGCUGCAAAUCAUGUAAAACGAGAUUGCAGCAAAAGAUGCAACUGUUAUACCUGGCCGGAAUCCUUUUUUCUAUCUUGAGAUGAAUGCCUCUGGUUGUUAGUCUGGCUAUUACAAUAUUAUUCCUAUUCUUAUAUUUUCUUGACUGCUCUAAGUCAUUAUUUAUGAGAAGUGUGUCUUGAAUAAAUUCAUUUUUUCCUCCUAGCUUUUUAAAUGUGAGUCAAUAUGUGUGAUGUAUUCUCUAUGGGGUUAUGAUUAUAUAUUAUUCUCUAUGGGGUUUGAAUCUUUGACCUUAGGUUAACAGCCACAAGCUUCAACUAACUAAGAUGUGGAGUGGGAAAAUGUGAGGUGCGGAGACUGGAUCUGGAAUAGGGAAACAUGCGAUGUGGGAGCAGCACAGACAUCGUGACACACCUCAUGCACAAGCACAUUGGCGGAUUUGAUAUGAUAUAUUAGAAUAGAUUUUUUUUUUUUUUGCUAAA